Molecule: ribosomal RNA, 460 nt
Filed under: uncultured bacterium
Lineage: Bacteria
Description: partial 16S ribosomal RNA
Rfam family: Bacterial small subunit ribosomal RNA
Source: RNAcentral
CCUACGGGAGGCAGCAGUGAGGAAUAUUGGUCAAUGGACGAGAGUCUGAACCAGCCAAGUAGCGUGAAGGAUGACUGCCCUAUGGGUUGUAAACUUCUUUUAUAUGGGAAUAAAAUGUUCCACGUGUGGGAUUUUGUAUGUACCAUAUGAAUAAGGAUCGGCUAACUCCGUGCCAGCAGCCGCGGUAAUACGGAGGAUCCGAGCGUUAUCCGGAUUUAUUGGGUUUAAAGGGAGCGUAGGUGGAUUGUUAAGUCAGUUGUGAAAGUUUGCGGCUCAACCGUAAAAUUGCAGUUGAAACUGGCAGUCUUGAGUACAGUAGAGGUGGGCGGAAUUCGUGGUGUAGCGGUGAAAUGCGUAGAUAUCACGAAGAACUCCGAUUGCGAAGGCAGUUCACUGGACUGCAACUGACACUGAGGCGCGAAAGUGUGGGUAUCAAACAGGAUUAGAUACCCGGGUAGUC